RNAcentral lists this ribosomal RNA (386 nucleotides) under uncultured bacterium. Its description in RNAcentral is "bacterial SSU rRNA". It matches the Rfam family "Bacterial small subunit ribosomal RNA", at positions 505 to 898 of the family's 1533-position model. The record is from RNAcentral.
GUGUCAGCAGCCGCGGUAAUACAGAGGGAGCAAGCGUUAUCCGGAAUGAUUGGGCGUAAAGCGUUCGUAGGUGGCUGGUGAAGUCUACUGUCAAAAAUCAGGGCUUAACCUUGAGCAGGCAGUGGAAACUCAUUAGCUUGAGUGCGGUAGGGGUAGAGGGAACUCUUUAUGGAGCGGUGAAAUGCGUAGAGAUAAGGAGGAACACCAGCGGCGAAGGCGCUCUACUGGGCCGAUACUGACACUGAGGGACGAAAGCUAAGGGAGCGAAUAGGAUUAGAGACCCUAGUAGUCUUAGCUGUAAACGAUGGAAACUAAGUGCUGCCGAAAGCAGUGCUGUAGCUAACGCGUUAAGUUUCCCGCCUGGGGAGUAUGCUCGCAAGAGUGAA